RNAcentral lists this ribosomal RNA (324 nucleotides) under uncultured bacterium. RNAcentral's name for it is "bacterial SSU rRNA". It matches the Rfam family "Bacterial small subunit ribosomal RNA", at positions 29 to 336 of the family's 1533-position model. The record is from RNAcentral.
AACGAACGCUGGCGGCGUGCCUAACACAUGCAAGUCGUGCGAGAAAGUUCCUUCGGGAGCGAGUAAAGCGGCGCACGGGUGAGUAACACGUAGGUAACCUGCCCCCCAGUCUGGAACAACUAGAGGAAACUCUAGCUAAUGCCGGAUGAGACCACGAUCCCUUCGGGGGUUGCGGCCAAAGAUGGCCUCUACUUGUAAGCUAUCGCUGAGGGAUGGGCCUGCGGGCCAUUAGCUUGUUGGUGAGGUAACGGCUCACCAAGGCUGUGAUGGCUAGCUGGUCUGAGAGGAUGACCAGCCACACUGGGACUGAGACACGGCCCAGGA